This 390-nucleotide ribosomal RNA is filed under the name Boana boans group sp. ABGD cluster 15. RNAcentral describes it as "partial large subunit ribosomal RNA". It matches the Rfam family "Archaeal large subunit ribosomal RNA", at positions 1990 to 2498 of the family's 2987-position model. The record is from RNAcentral. Lineage: Eukaryota; Metazoa; Chordata; Amphibia; Anura; Hylidae.
UGAAAUUAUUCAACGGCCGCGGUAUCCUAACCGUGCGAAGGUAGCGUAAUCACUUGUUCUUUAAAUGAGGACUAGUAUGAAUGGCACCACGAGGGUUCUACUGUCUCCUUUUUUUAAUCAGUGAAACUAAUCUCCCCGUGAAGAAGCGGGGAUCUUUAUAUAAGACGAGAAGACCCUAUGGAGCUUUAAACAACCAACAUUUGCUACACCAUAACAUUUUCCCUAAAAGAAGUAUAGCAUUAUGAUUAUUAGUUUUCGAUUGGGGUGAUCACGGAGUAAAAUAUAACCUCCAUGCCGAAAGGGUUCUUACCCUGAGCAAAAAGCCACAGCUUUAAGCACUAAAAAAUUAACGCAGUUUGACCCAAUAUUUUGAUCAACGAACCAAGUUAC